RNAcentral lists this ribosomal RNA (273 nucleotides) under uncultured bacterium. Its description in RNAcentral is "partial 16S ribosomal RNA". It matches the Rfam family "Bacterial small subunit ribosomal RNA", at positions 524 to 796 of the family's 1533-position model. The record is from RNAcentral.
UACGUAGGGUGCGAGCGUUAAUCGGAAUUACUGGGCGUAAAGUGUGCGUAGGCGGCGUCGCAAGUCGAGUGUGAAAGCCCCGGGCUUAACUUGGGAAUUGCGCUCGAAACUACGGUGCUCGAGUGUGGCAGAGGGAGGUGGAAUUCCACGUGUAGCGGUGAAAUGCGUAGAGAUGUGGAGGAACACCAAUGGCGAAGGCAGCCUCCUGGGCCAACACUGACGCUCAUGCACGAAAGCGUGGGGAGCAAACAGGAUUAGAAACCCCAGUAGUCC